GUGAACCUGCGGAAGGAUCAUUGUCGAGACCGAAAUAUAUCGAGCGAUUCGGAGAACCUGUGAACGAGCCGCGGCACCCGCCGCGGCGCAACUGCCGUCUCCAUCGUCGGCCUCAUCAAUGGGGCCGCGAUGAGAAGGCGGAUGAAAACCCAAACCGGCGCAGCCACGCGCCAAGGAAAUACGAAUAGACACGAGCCUGUAUCGGGCUCGGUGGCGUGGAGUGCAGUCGCAUACCACACGGUCAAACGACUCUCGGCAAUGGAUAUCUCGGCUCUCGCAUCGAUGAAGAGCGCAGCGAAAUGCGAUACGUGGUGCGAAUUGCAGAAUCCCGCGAACCAUCGAGAAUUUGAACGCAAGUUGCGCCCGAGGCCAGCCGGCCAAGGGCACGUCUGCCUGGGCGUCAAGCGUUGCGUCGCUCCGUGCCAGCUCCGCCCCACCCGACGGGUGCGGUGUACGGGGGAGGGCCGGAUGUGCAGAGUGGCUCGUCGUGCCCGCGGGCACGGCGGGCUUAAGAGCGGGUGAUCUUCUCGUUGGCCACGAACAACAGGGGGUGGAUGAAAAUUGUGCCUGUGUUGUAUCGUUCCGGCGUGAGGAGAUUGUACCCAGCGGAUGAUCCCAGCCCAAGCGUCGUUCCACGGACGUCGGCUUGGAAUGCGACCCCAGGAUGGGCGAGGCCACCCGCUGAGUUUA
RNAcentral lists this ribosomal RNA (690 nucleotides) under Specklinia condylata. Its description in RNAcentral is "eukaryotic LSU rRNA". The stretch from base 248 to 403 matches the Rfam family "5.8S ribosomal RNA". Lineage: Eukaryota; Viridiplantae; Streptophyta; Magnoliopsida; Asparagales; Orchidaceae. The record is from RNAcentral.